UACGAAGGAUCCAAGCGUUAUCCGGAUUUAUUGGGUUUAAAGGGUGCGUAGGCGGACUAUUAAGUCAGUGGUGAAAGCCUGCAGCUUAACUGCAGAACUGCCAUUGAUACUGAUGGUCUUGAGUACAUUUGAGGUGGGCGGAAUGUGUCAUGUAGUGGUGAAAUACUUAGAUAUGACACAGAACACCAAUUGCGAAGGCAGCUCACUAAGCAAAUAUUGACGCUGAGGCACGAAAGCGUGGGGAUCAAACAGG
RNAcentral lists this ribosomal RNA (253 nucleotides) under uncultured bacterium. RNAcentral describes it as "partial 16S ribosomal RNA". It matches the Rfam family "Bacterial small subunit ribosomal RNA", at positions 524 to 776 of the family's 1533-position model. The record is from RNAcentral.